RNAcentral lists this ribosomal RNA (466 nucleotides) under uncultured bacterium. RNAcentral describes it as "partial 16S ribosomal RNA". It matches the Rfam family "Bacterial small subunit ribosomal RNA", at positions 28 to 507 of the family's 1533-position model. The record is from RNAcentral.
GAUGAACGCUGGCGGCGUGCUUAACACAUGCAAGUCGAACGGAAAGGCCCAAGCUUUCUUGGGUGCUCGAGUGGCGAACGUGUGAGUAACACGUGCGUAAUCUGCCCUGCACUUCGGGAUAACCCUAGGAAACUGGGUCUAAUACCGGAUAGGACCAUCUUUUGGAUGGCAUUGUGUAGAAAUUUUUCGGUGGGGGAUGAACUCGCGGCCUAUCACCUUGUUGGGGGGGUAGUGGCCUACGCAGGCUCUUACGGGUAGCCGGCCUGAGCGGGUGAGCGGCCACAGUGGGACUGAGAUGCGGCACAGACUCAUGCGGGGGGCAGCAGUGGAGAAUAGUGCACAGUGGGCGGGAGCCAGGCGCAGCCACGCCGCGUGCGGGAUGACGGCCUUCGGUUUGUAAUCCGCUUUCGCCUGUGAAGGAGCGUGAGUGACGGUAAUGGGUGAAGAAGCACCGGCUAACUACGUG